AGUGAACGCUGGCGGUAGGCCUAACACAUGCAAGUCGAACGGCAGCACAGUAAAAGCUUGCUCUUACGGGUGGCGAGUGGCGGACGGGGGAGGAAUACAUCGGAAUCUACUUUUUCGUGGGGGAAAACGUAGGGAAACUUACGCUAAUACCGCAUACGACCUACGGGUGAAAGCAGGGGAUCUUCGGACCUUGCGCGGUUGAAUGAGCCGAUGUCGGAUUAGCGAGUUGGCGGGGUAAAGACCCACCAAGGCGACGAUCCGUAGCUGGUCUGAGAGGAUGAUCAGCCACACUGGAACUGAGACACGGUCCAGACUCCUACGGGAGGCAGCAGUGGGGAAUAUUGGACAAUGGGCGCAAGCCUGAUCCAGCCAUACCGCGUGGGUGAAGAAGGCCUUCGGGUUGUAAAGCCCUUUUGUUGGGAAAGAAAAGCAGCAGGUUAAUACCCCGCUGUUCUGACGGUACCCAAAGAAUAAGCACCGGCUAACUUCGUG
Molecule: ribosomal RNA, 492 nt
Filed under: uncultured bacterium
Lineage: Bacteria
Description: partial 16S ribosomal RNA
Rfam family: Bacterial small subunit ribosomal RNA
Source: RNAcentral